RNAcentral lists this long non-coding RNA (763 nucleotides) under Medicago truncatula (barrel medic). Its description in RNAcentral is "long non-coding RNA (MTRU_LNC008290)". The record is from RNAcentral. Lineage: Eukaryota; Viridiplantae; Streptophyta; Magnoliopsida; Fabales; Fabaceae.
CAUUUGUUACUCCUCUUUCUCUUUCUUCUCUCUUUUAGAGAGAGAAGCUCCACCUUCUCUCUAACUUUCCGGUCAUCUUCUCCGGUUGGCAUGGCUUUUCCGGCGCGGCGGACGACGGUGGCGCCUCCGCGCCGGAGUUCGAAACUGCUCUGAUUCAAAUUUUUUUUACGUUUUUAAACAUCCUUUUUUACGUAUUACUCGAAUCCGAGUUUAGAUUUUUCAAAAGAGCUUUGAAUCGGAGUAGAUCUAAACUUGAACCUUGAUGAAAAAAACUUAAGAAAACGGAGGGGAAAAGAGGAAGAACGGCGGCGGUUACCUCACGAUUGCGGUGACUCUUGGCUUGGCGUUGUUGCUUCGUGUUCUUCGCGUUCUUCACGUUCUCGUGGCUUCGCGUUCUUCGCGGUUGUCACGUUCUUGUUGCUUCGCGUUCUUCACGUUCUUGUGGCUUCGCGUUCUUCGCGGUCGUCACGUUCUUGUUGUUUCGGUACAGAUUCGGUUUUCCCUUUCUUCUUCUCGGAUUCGCACACCUUUCGUGAUCGUGCUUGAGUCCGGUGACGGAUUCGCACUCGUAUUGCGAAAGGAAACAAAUCGAUGAUGAUGAUUCUUCUGACGAAUCUUCUGAGAUUUGCGGAAACUUCAAUGGAUUUUGAUGAUUUUGUUAUGAAUUUGUGUGUUAGGGUUUGAUGAAUUUUUCUGUGUUCUUGGUGAUUCUGUUUUCUUUGAUCUAACAGAAUGGAGAGAGAAAGUUUUGGAUCUGUUUGUG